AAAUAAGGUGAGGGUUUGAUAUUGUUUAACAUACGACAUUCUAUUCUACGUUUUGUUAAGCGAGAAAAAUAAUUCUGCUCAACUGAGAUAAACAUGAGCCCUUUCGUUUUCUUCUUCUGUGUCAGCCUUCUGUGCACGGUGUCUAUUGUCGUUAAUACGGACGUUCUAGAUCAUGAUAUAGACGACCCUCAUUAUGUUGAGAAACAACCCCGAGAUACCCCUUCAACAGAAACAACCAGCAAGUUUAAAAUAGACUCAUCAAAUGAGUUGUUGAAACGAACCCCGCAUACAUGAUUGAAAUAGACUAACAAAUCAAAUGAAAAUAAAGACCUGAAUUGCCAAUUUAACAGAGACAACUAGGAUUCCAAUACAUAACCUUCAGUACGCUUCUUAUGUAGAGUG
Molecule: long non-coding RNA, 402 nt
Organism: Physella acuta
Lineage: Eukaryota; Metazoa; Mollusca; Gastropoda; Physidae
Source: RefSeq, a predicted model, not a curated record